GGUGAGCCGCGGGAACACACGUUUACCAUUAUGAGAUUAGCACGUGCUAACCCCAGCC
This 58-nucleotide ribosomal RNA is filed under the name Scrippsiella hangoei. RNAcentral describes it as "partial Eukaryotic small subunit ribosomal RNA". Lineage: Eukaryota; Dinophyceae; Peridiniales; Peridiniaceae. The record is from RNAcentral.